Molecule: ribosomal RNA, 404 nt
Filed under: uncultured bacterium
Lineage: Bacteria
Description: partial 16S ribosomal RNA
Rfam family: Bacterial small subunit ribosomal RNA
Source: RNAcentral
GACGAACGCUGGCGGCGUGCCUAAUACAUGCAAGUCGAACGCAGUGGGGACGGGUGAGUAACACGUGGGUAACCUCCCCCUCAGAGGGGAUAACACUUGGAAACAGGUUCUACACCGAUACUGAUGGAUGGCCACGCGGUGCCUUAGCUAGUUGGUGAGGUAACGUCUCACCAAGGCCACGAUGCAUAGCCGACCUGAGAGGGUGAUCGUCCACAAUGGGACUGAGACACGGCCCAGAUGCCUACGGGAGGCAGCAGUAGGGAAUCUUCGGCAAUGGACGAAAGUCUGACCGAGAAACGCCGCGUGAGUGAAGAAGGUUUUCGGAUCGUAAAACUCUGUUGUUAGAGAAGCGGUAUCUAACCAGAAAGCCACGGCUAACUACGUGCCAGCAGCCGCGGUAAUAC